AUGCUUCAGCAGCAGGUCUACCCAAAUUACAGUAAUACAGAGAUUAACAUGGCACUUACACAAGGAUGAUAUGAAAAUUUGUGAAGUAUUCCAUAUUUUU
This is a small nuclear RNA of Dipodomys ordii (Ord's kangaroo rat), 100 nucleotides long. The record is from Ensembl. NCBI's taxonomy places the organism in Eukaryota, Metazoa, Chordata, Mammalia, Rodentia, Heteromyidae.